RNAcentral lists this ribosomal RNA (519 nucleotides) under uncultured bacterium. Its description in RNAcentral is "bacterial SSU rRNA". It matches the Rfam family "Bacterial small subunit ribosomal RNA", at positions 15 to 518 of the family's 1533-position model. The record is from RNAcentral.
GAUCAUGGCUCAGAUUGAACGCUGGCGGCGUGCUUAACACAUGCAAGUCGCGCGUGAAAGGACUUCGGUCCGAGUAAAGCGGCGCACGGGUGAGUAACGCGUGGAUGAUCUACCCAUGAGUUGGGAAUAACGGCUGGAAACGGUCGCUAAUACCGAAUACGCUCCGAUUUCAUCUUCGGGGGAAAGGUGGCCUCUGCUUGCAAGCUACUGCUCAUGGAUGAGUCCGCGUCCCAUUAGCUAGUUGGUGGGGUAACGGCCCACCAAGGCGACGAUGGGUAGCCGGUCUGAGAGGAUGACCGGCCACACUGGGACUGGAACACGGCCCAGACUCCUACGGGAGGCAGCAGUGGGGAAUAUUGCGCAAUGGGCGAAAGCCUGACGCAGCGACGCCGCGUGAAGGGAUGAAGGUCCUCGGGUCGUAAACCUCUGUCAGGAGGGAAGAACCGCCACGGUGCUAAUCAGCCGUGGUCUGACGGUACCUCCAAAGGAAGCACCGGCUAACUCCGUGCCAGCCGCCGC